Molecule: non-coding RNA, 559 nt
Organism: Vigna umbellata (rice bean)
Lineage: Eukaryota; Viridiplantae; Streptophyta; Magnoliopsida; Fabales; Fabaceae
Source: RefSeq, a predicted model, not a curated record
UUUUACUAUUGGCAAUGAUACUCAAAGCACUAGGACCACAUCAAUAUUAUGAUAGUGAUGAUGAAUAUACUCCUGACAGGGUGCCACUCUUGAAGAAUGCUCCACCUCAAUAUGUUGUUGUUGAUCCAGGAUAUGCACAUGGAAAUGAAACAUGGAAUAGGUCAAAUAGGUAAGGCCAUAGCCUUCAAUUUAACCUUGACGUCUGGAUCCAUGGAAAGUGAGGCAAGCAGUCCUUUUUUAUGCCAAUUGGUUUAGAAGAUGACCUACACGCUGGAGACGGAUUAACUAUGAAUCAAUGGCUAUGGGAGAAACAAGUGCUUAUCGUGAUCCUGGGGACAAAUAAACCAUUUUCACACAGUUGUGAGUAAACGUGUGUAAUCAUCAUAUAUCAUGUCUGUUUAUCGUAAAUAAAACACAAUCUCUUGAUGAACAACCCCCUCUAUCUUCUGUUAAAAGUAUCUACGAAGGUGGAUCAAUAGAUAUGAGCAAAUAUUCUUUUGUUUAAACUGGGUUCUCAUCAUUCAUCCAUUGUGGAUACAAAAUGGAGUUUUGGCGUCCA